RNAcentral lists this non-coding RNA (123 nucleotides) under Oryza sativa Indica Group (long-grained rice). RNAcentral describes it as "Burkholderia RNA 11". It matches the Rfam family "Burkholderia RNA 11". From Rfam's summary of the family: Co-purified with Hfq, expression confirmed by Northern blot. The record is from Rfam by way of RNAcentral. Lineage: Eukaryota; Viridiplantae; Streptophyta; Magnoliopsida; Poales; Poaceae.
GCAACCUGACAGCUGGCGCAUGGCAACCCGGUGGUGUUCCGCUCGCUGCUGGGCAUCAGCUGGAUGUGGUUCUUCGGGGCGGUGUACCUCUCGCAGUUCCCCAGAUUCGCCAAGGAGGUGCUG